RNAcentral lists this ribosomal RNA (2848 nucleotides) under Staphylococcus aureus M0531. RNAcentral describes it as "bacterial LSU rRNA". It matches the Rfam family "Bacterial large subunit ribosomal RNA". The record is from RNAcentral. Lineage: Bacteria; Bacillati; Bacillota; Bacilli; Caryophanales; Staphylococcaceae.
CUUUGGGGAGCUGUAAGUAAGCUUUGAUCCAGAGAUUUCCGAAUGGGGAAACCCAGCAUGAGUUAUGUCAUGUUAUCGAUAUGUGAAUACAUAGCAUAUCAGAAGGCACACCCGGAGAACUGAAACAUCUUAGUACCCGGAGGAAGAGAAAGAAAAUUCGAUUCCCUUAGUAGCGGCGAGCGAAACGGGAAGAGCCCAAACCAACAAGCUUGCUUGUUGGGGUUGUAGGACACUCUAUACGGAGUUACAAAGGACGACAUUAGACGAAUCAUCUGGAAAGAUGAAUCAAAGAAGGUAAUAAUCCUGUAGUCGAAAAUGUUGUCUCUCUUGAGUGGAUCCUGAGUACGACGGAGCACGUGAAAUUCCGUCGGAAUCUGGGAGGACCAUCUCCUAAGGCUAAAUACUCUCUAGUGACCGAUAGUGAACCAGUACCGUGAGGGAAAGGUGAAAAGCACCCCGGAAGGGGAGUGAAAUAGAACCUGAAACCGUGUGCUUACAAGUAGUCAGAGCCCGUUAAUGGGUGAUGGCGUGCCUUUUGUAGAAUGAACCGGCGAGUUACGAUUUGAUGCAAGGUUAAGCAGUAAAUGUGGAGCCGUAGCGAAAGCGAGUCUGAAUAGGGCGUUUAGUAUUUGGUCGUAGACCCGAAACCAGGUGAUCUACCCUUGGUCAGGUUGAAGUUCAGGUAACACUGAAUGGAGGACCGAACCGACUUACGUUGAAAAGUGAGCGGAUGAACUGAGGGUAGCGGAGAAAUUCCAAUCGAACCUGGAGAUAGCUGGUUCUCUCCGAAAUAGCUUUAGGGCUAGCCUCAAGUGAUGAUUAUUGGAGGUAGAGCACUGUUUGGACGAGGGGCCCCUCUCGGGUUACCGAAUUCAGACAAACUCCGAAUGCCAAUUAAUUUAACUUGGGAGUCAGAACAUGGGUGAUAAGGUCCGUGUUCGAAAGGGAAACAGCCCAGACCACCAGCUAAGGUCCCAAAAUAUAUGUUAAGUGGAAAAGGAUGUGGCGUUGCCCAGACAACUAGGAUGUUGGCUUAGAAGCAGCCAUCAUUUAAAGAGUGCGUAAUAGCUCACUAGUCGAGUGACACUGCGCCGAAAAUGUACCGGGGCUAAACAUAUUACCGAAGCUGUGGAUUGUCCUUUGGACAAUGGUAGGAGAGCGUUCUAAGGGCGUUGAAGCAUGAUCGUAAGGACAUGUGGAGCGCUUAGAAGUGAGAAUGCCGGUGUGAGUAGCGAAAGACGGGUGAGAAUCCCGUCCACCGAUUGACUAAGGUUUCCAGAGGAAGGCUCGUCCGCUCUGGGUUAGUCGGGUCCUAAGCUGAGGCCGACAGGCGUAGGCGAUGGAUAACAGGUUGAUAUUCCUGUACCACCUAUAAUCGUUUUAAUCGAUGGGGGGACGCAGUAGGAUAGGCGAAGCGUGCGAUUGGAUUGCACGUCUAAGCAGUAAGGCUGAGUAUUAGGCAAAUCCGGUACUCGUUAAGGCUGAGCUGUGAUGGGGAGAAGACAUUGUGUCUUCGAGUCGUUGAUUUCACACUGCCGAGAAAAGCCUCUAGAUAGAAAAUAGGUGCCCGUACCGCAAACCGACACAGGUAGUCAAGAUGAGAAUUCUAAGGUGAGCGAGCGAACUCUCGUUAAGGAACUCGGCAAAAUGACCCCGUAACUUCGGGAGAAGGGGUGCUCUUUAGGGUUAACGCCCAGAAGAGCCGCAGUGAAUAGGCCCAAGCGACUGUUUAUCAAAAACACAGGUCUCUGCUAAACCGUAAGGUGAUGUAUAGGGGCUGACGCCUGCCCGGUGCUGGAAGGUUAAGAGGAGUGGUUAGCUUCUGCGAAGCUACGAAUCGAAGCCCCAGUAAACGGCGGCCGUAACUAUAACGGUCCUAAGGUAGCGAAAUUCCUUGUCGGGUAAGUUCCGACCCGCACGAAAGGCGUAACGAUUUGGGCACUGUCUCAACGAGAGACUCGGUGAAAUCAUAGUACCUGUGAAGAUGCAGGUUACCCGCGACAGGACGGAAAGACCCCGUGGAGCUUUACUGUAGCCUGAUAUUGAAAUUCGGCACAGCUUGUACAGGAUAGGUAGGAGCCUUUGAAACGUGAGCGCUAGCUUACGUGGAGGCGCUGGUGGGAUACUACCCUAGCUGUGUUGGCUUUCUAACCCGCACCACUUAUCGUGGUGGGAGACAGUGUCAGGCGGGCAGUUUGACUGGGGCGGUCGCCUCCUAAAAGGUAACGGAGGCGCUCAAAGGUUCCCUCAGAAUGGUUGGAAAUCAUUCAUAGAGUGUAAAGGCAUAAGGGAGCUUGACUGCGAGACCUACAAGUCGAGCAGGGUCGAAAGACGGACUUAGUGAUCCGGUGGUUCCGCAUGGAAGGGCCAUCGCUCAACGGAUAAAAGCUACCCCGGGGAUAACAGGCUUAUCUCCCCCAAGAGUUCACAUCGACGGGGAGGUUUGGCACCUCGAUGUCGGCUCAUCGCAUCCUGGGGCUGUAGUCGGUCCCAAGGGUUGGGCUGUUCGCCCAUUAAAGCGGUACGCGAGCUGGGUUCAGAACGUCGUGAGACAGUUCGGUCCCUAUCCGUCGUGGGCGUAGGAAAUUUGAGAGGAGCUGUCCUUAGUACGAGAGGACCGGGAUGGACAUACCUCUGGUGUACCAGUUGUCGUGCCAACGGCAUAGCUGGGUAGCUAUGUGUGGACGGGAUAAGUGCUGAAAGCAUCUAAGCAUGAAGCCCCCCUCAAGAUGAGAUUUCCCAACUUCGGUUAUAAGAUCCCUCAAAGAUGAUGAGGUUAAUAGGUUCGAGGUGGAAGCAUGGUGACAUGUGGAGCUGACGAAUACUAAUCGAUCGAAGACUUAAUCAA